CAGUAGCCGCGGGAAAACGGAGGGUGCAAGCGUUAAUCGGAAUUACUGGGCGUAAAGCGCACGCAGGCGGUCUGACAAGUCAGAUGUGAAAUCCCCGGGCUUAACCUGGGAACUGCAUUUGAAACUGUCAGGCUGGAGUCUUGUAGAGGGGGGUAGAAUUCCAGGUGUAGCGGUGAAAUGCGUAGAGAUCUGGAGGAAUACCGGUGGCGAAGGCGGCCCCCUGGACAAAGACUGACGCUCAGGUGCGAAAGCGUGGGGAGCAAACAGGAUUAGAUACCCCGGUAGUCCCUGUCUCUUAUAC
This 301-nucleotide ribosomal RNA is filed under the name uncultured bacterium. RNAcentral describes it as "partial 16S ribosomal RNA". It matches the Rfam family "Bacterial small subunit ribosomal RNA", at positions 509 to 807 of the family's 1533-position model. The record is from RNAcentral.